This 495-nucleotide ribosomal RNA is filed under the name uncultured bacterium. RNAcentral's name for it is "partial 16S ribosomal RNA". It matches the Rfam family "Bacterial small subunit ribosomal RNA", at positions 28 to 507 of the family's 1533-position model. The record is from RNAcentral.
GACGAACGCUGGCGGCGUGCCUAAUGCAUGCAAGUAGAACGCUGAAGGAGGAGCUUGCUCUUCUGGAUGAGUUGCGAACGGGUGAGUAACGCGUAGGUAACCUGCCUGGUAGCGGGGGAUAACUAUUGGAAACGAUAGCUAAUACCGCAUAACAGUAGAUGUUGCAUGACAUUUACUUAAAAGGUGCAAUUGCAUCACUACCAGAUGGACCUGCGUUGUAUUAGCUAGUUGGUGGGGUAACGGCUCACCAAGGCGACGAUACAUAGCCGACCUGAGAGGGUGAUCGGCCACACUGGGACUGAGACACGGCCCAGACUCCUACGGGAGGCAGCAGUAGGGAAUCUUCGGCAAUGGACGGAAGUCUGACCGAGCAACGCCGCGUGAGUGAAGAAGGUUUUCGGAUCGUAAAGCUCUGUUGUAAGAGAAGAACGAGUGUGAGAGUGGAAAGUUCACACUGUGACGGUAGCUUACCAGAAAGGGACGGCUAACUACGUG